AGUGAACGCUGGCGGCGUGCUUAACACAUGCAAGUUGAGCGAACUUCUGCAGCGUAUCGCAGGAGUUAGCGGCAAACGGGUGAGUAACACGUAGGAGACUUCCCUUAAAGAGAGGAAUACCCCCGAGAAAUCGGGGCUAAUACCUCAUAAGACCACAGUCUGGCAUCAGGCAGGGGUCAAAGGCUCGCAAGAGCCGCUUUAGGAUGGUCCUGCGUCCUCUCAGCUAGUUGGUGAGGUAACGGCUCACCAAGGCUAUGACGGGUAGCCGGCCUGAAAGGGUGAUCGGCCACAUUGGGACUGAGACACGUGCCGGACUCCUACGGGAGGCAGCAGUGGGUAAUAUUGGACAAUGGUGGAAACCCUGAUGCAACAACGCCGCGUGAGUGAUGACGGCCUUCGGGUUGUAAAGCUCUGUCUUUGGGGACGAUAAUGGCGGUACCCAAGGAGGAAGUCACGGCCAACUACGUGCCAGCCGCCGCGGUAA
RNAcentral lists this ribosomal RNA (484 nucleotides) under uncultured bacterium. RNAcentral describes it as "partial 16S ribosomal RNA". It matches the Rfam family "Bacterial small subunit ribosomal RNA", at positions 29 to 523 of the family's 1533-position model. The record is from RNAcentral.